CAGAAACAUUUGAAAAUUACCCCAUAUCACACAACUGGUAAACCCAAGAUUUGAACCCAUGUUUUAACUACUAGGGCUUCUCUGCUAUGACCUGCCCUUAAGACAGAAGCAGGACGUACGACGUGCAGGGGAUGGGUUGGGGACAUUGGACCCUACUCUCUAAAAGGGCAGCUCAGCUGGCGAGCAGGCCCCCUUGAUCCUGUGUGACCCCUACAGAUACACCCCCCGGAACCCAGUAGGGCAUUACGGAUAAACCUGCUAACAAUGUGGGCUACGAAAAGAAUGCGAGUGACAAGAAUAAUAUACCACAGGGUGGUCGCUGUCAGUUUUCAAUACUUGAAUGAAUAUUAAUGAAGUGUCGAGGGCAAGGCCGUUUGCUAGGUCACUUAGGGGAUAAUAAAAUUAGCAUAUGGAUAAUAGUUGCCAAAGCACAUUGGUAUGGGAACUACUUAAUUCUCACAUCCGUGCUGUGAAAUAGGCAUUAUUACUGUCUUCCAGUUCUAGACUCAGGACGGAGGGUCAGAGGGAUUAAGUUGUGUGGGCAAGAUUUUGUGGUUGAUUCAGACCUGAGUCUGGCUGCAAAAACAAGCGCACGUCUUCUGGUUCCACUCCCUGGACUCCUUUCCCUGUGCCUGCUCCUUCCCCCAGAUUAUGGAGGCUGACAUAUACGUAAAUAAAUAUAACACGACAUAAAAGAGGUAAGUGCACGUAAAGUGCAGAGAGAACACCCAGCUGGAGGGAUCGAGAAGGUUUCGUAGAGGCUUCUGUUAACCCGAAUAUACUCAAGUUCACCUUCAACCAAAUCCUUAAGUGACAAGUCAAAUGAAGAGGAACCUAUAGUCUGGAAAGGUUGAGGAGAUGUGCCGAAAUACUUCACCAGUCGCUGUAACCGUCUGCAAGCCAAUGCAAGAUUCUCAAAGCCAGAAACCACGCCCAGCCAACUCAAUGAGGCGUGUGCUUGGCUCACAAUGGGUGCUGGGUGAAGACUUGUUAAAUUUUAUUGAAAAUGAUUUCAACCUAAAUAAACACCGGUGAGGAAGAGAAGGAAGCACAGACAGUUGCUCUGACUUGUCCUUUGAUUCAUUAGCGAUGGCAUAACUGACCCCAAUUGGGGAGGAGGGUGUGUAGGAAGGGGAUAAAAAAGUGCCUACACAAAGAGCAGCUUUUACUUUCAGGGAGGCUGUGAAACUUGGGUUCAUAGUAGGAGGCUAUUAUUAACAGAGAAACACCCUGAGUACAAAGAAGAAGGAUUUACUUUCAGGGAGACAGGCACUCUAAUAGGGCGCUCUUUGUGCUUCCUUGCCAGCGAUCCCUUUCAGCAGCUGCAAAUCUCUGCAGAGUACCACUGUCAAAAAGGAUGACUCCGCUGCCUUCUUGAGGUAUCGGACUUCAUCUAAAACCAGAAACAAAACCCAAUGGUUCUUUGGGCCAACUUGUCCAGCUGCACAGCUAUCCCUCUAUCUUUUAUCUCCAGGCUUGGAAUCUAUCCAUCAGCAACAGUUACACUAUUCCUACGUGUCUGUGCCUUCUCCUGUCUGUUUUAAAAGUUGAUCUCCUUUCUCCUGGAAAUCCACAACAUCAGCCAGACAUCCCUCCUUGGGGCCAUCUCCCUGCCUUUGGGUAGAUUCAUACAUCUCUUCGUUCCUAAGCCAGUACUGAUUGAGUACCUGGGUGCUGAGGACGCCGUGCCGAACAGGACAGCUGAGAAAGCAGAUUGUGAAUGAGAAAACAGACGUCUCCGGGCCUGGACGGCCCAGCUCUCCUCCCGUUGUCGUGAUCAUGCCUCGCAGGCUCGAGGCCUUGUUACUUCAUCCACGGGAAACUUCAGUGUGUCCCCUUGGAAACAGAGAGACUAGCCCGUGGAGCCCUGCGGUAAGAACGCACAUCGUUGCUUUGAUUGAAUGCUUGUGCUCACACACGAUCAUCCAUGUUCAGUUAGUGGCACUCAUAGUGGUAAUGCUUACUGAGCACUUUCUGUGUAUGAGGCCCUGCUCCACGUACAUUAACUUCUUUAAUCCCCACCACAGCCCCUUUUCCUCGCUUGGCAAAUGGAGUAACCAAGGCACGGAGGACUUAAGGACGUGGUGGAGACCUUAUGUUAUUUUGAAACUCAAGGAACUAGAAUAAGUCACCUUUGAACCAACCAGGUUAAGAAUGACCAAGGGGGAUUGCAAAAAAGAAUGCUUAGCUGACCAAUGACAACAAGAUGUUUAACUGGCUGAAGGAUAGCAGCAUCUGACAAACCAACCUGGGGGAGAAGAGUGGGGGCCGAAAAGCUGGCACUGCCGCACUUCUGGCUGCGGCUGGGGCUUUCGUCCGCAGCGCUAGCAGGGUUUUAUAAGCAUUACCUCAUCGACCUUCCCAACAGCUCCAGCAAGGCCUGAGUGGUCUGAGGCCACGUGUGGAGCUGGAGCAGCCGAAACACAGGGAGGCCCCGAAACCUCCCAGUAGGGCACCGUCUUCAGUCAGUGUCUACAUCCGACCGUGAAGUCUGGCCCUCCGCUGCCCAGGGACAGCCCUCCCGUUGCCCAGACCCCUGCGACAUUGUCCUUUAUUUAUUCCCUGUGCAAACCUGAGUCUCCAGUAAUGAGCAAUGCUUCCCUCACCUUAGAAGCAUUGAAGGCAGGUAAGGAUGUGGGAGGAAACAGGAAGAACACCAGUCUGGGGGACUUCCCUGGUGGUCCAGGGGUUAGGACUCUCCACUUUCACUGUCAGGGCCCAGGUUCGAUCCCUGGUUGGGGAACUGAAAUCCCACAAGCUGUGUGGUAUGGCCAAAAAGCAGAAAACCAAACAAUACAAAAACACUGGUCUGGAAGUGAGGACCCUGGGAUCCAGUACCGUUGGGCCACAUGAUUUGGGAGAACACAUCUCUUCUCUGCUUUCCAAUUUCCACUUCUAUAAAACAAAGGAAGUGGAGUUAGGCAACUUCUAAGGUACUUCCAAUGCCAACAGUCCACAAUGGGAGGAUGACAUCUCUGUGAUUUACCAGAUCGUAACUGAAGGUUUAAUCCGUCGGCUGGUUAGCAUUCAAGAUUUACAUCUUUAGAGCAGAAGUUAACUUUUUUAUUUCCACAGAGCAUUUUGAUAGGAUAAUGCAAAAAGGCUAGAGGAGGUUACGGAGCAGGAGGUGGGGUCCUCCAGUGAAGGCAAGGACCAAAUCAAAGCUGGAAGAGACUUCCCUGGUGGUCCAGUGGGUAAGACUCCGCACUCCCAAUGCAGGGGGCAGGGGUCAUGGGGCACAGGGCAUGGUUCCCUCUCAUCCGCUCCCACUAUUCCACACUUUCUGAGCCCACAAGUGAAUGUGAGAAUCUUCCUAAACCUGAAUUUUGAUGAUUAAACAAAUAUCCACGACCAGCAAAUGAUUUCAGACCAUGUGUCCGGUACCGUCCUAGGCCUUCCACAUGCUGCAUCUUAUUGAAUGGAAUAAUAAGAUAGCAUGUAAUGGAGGUAUUAAUCGCAUUUUACAGCUGGAAAAUGGAGGCCCGGAGACAGUAAGAGAAUUCCUCAAGGUUUCGUGAGGAGAAGAGCAGGGAGACACAACUUCACGGCUCCUGAUUUCAGGGCAGGAAUCUCUCCAUCCCCGCACGCCUGCUGCCUGGCUCCUCCUGGCUUCCUAGACGUGGUCUAAACGUUUGCCUUGGUUCUGAGGAGCCUCUGCAGAAUGGCCCCUGUAUGUUUGUAUUUUCCCAGUACUCUCCAGUGCAUAUCAGGCAGAUUACUCUCAAGACCUAUGUAACGCUUUCCCGGGUCUAUUGGUUUGGAUGAUUUUUCUAACCUCCGUCUGUAACGCUCUCCACCAGACCGCCAUGAGCUAUUGAAAUCCUUGCGUCUUUCAAUAUCUGCCUCAAAUGCUACCUCCUCCAUGAAGCCUUCCCUGCCCCACCCUUAGCUUCCCUGUUUGAUUUCUGCCCUUUUAUGGUAAGUUUUGUCUUGAAUUAUAAUCCUUUCUGUGCACCAUAAGAGAAGAGACAAUCUUAUUCCACUUUGUGACCUCCACCAGUGCCUGAUAUAUAAUAGACCACAGGAAGUAUUUGCUGAAUAGAAGAAAGAAUCAGUGAAUUAACAGAUCAGAGAACUGCAGCUUCCUGUUUAGUUUCUUCUGUUGUUGAUUUAAAGGUUCUGGAUAAAACUGGAAGAGGAAAAUUACAGCUUGAGCUUGAGCACUUGAAAAGGCAGACGCUUGUGGCAUCCAAAAUGAUAUUCCUUGUGAACAUGGGUGACUCGACCGUAUUUUUGCCACGUGAGAAACACUUGACGAUUAGGGUCUUCAGAAUGAAAGGCUGGAGCUGAAAAGCAAGGAAAAGCAAUCAAAUCCGUGGGUUAAAAGUGUGCAGAAAUCGUCCUCCAUGAUUCCCAAAUGAAGGAAGUGUCCCUGAAAACAGAAGAAGCACUCCAGUGCUUUAGUGAUUUUCAUCAUGAAUUGGAUAAAACACUGAUGGGUGACAACGUGUGAGAAUGCAGUGUUUCCGUAUAGCACACCAGAGAACGGAGUGGGCCCCCUUGCCAGCCCAGGGACAGCAAGUGACACGGUGGUUUAAAAUGUGCCCACAAAUCCUUCUUCGGGUGAUGUUCCCUUCAAAAGAUGGAACAGGAUCCCCGUCCCUCGAGAUUCCCUUCCCUGCUGGAAGAGAGCAGGGAAGACCUGCAGGGGCAGUGUCCAUCGCCCAGUCCCUGGAGACCGGGUCGCGAAAGGCACGGCAGCUUCCUGCUCCCUCUCUGAUCACUUGCUCCUGGAAACCCCGCUGCCACCUCAUAAGGACACAUGCGGUUUCUGGAGAGGCCCACUCCGUGGAGACCUGAGGCCGUCCGGCAGCAGCCCAGUGUGGGCACCACCUUGACAGCGGAGCCUCUGGUCCCCGGCGCCCAGCAAGCCAUCGGGAGGGGCCGCCAGCCCCCUGGGAGGCUGAGCCACAGGGACUCAGCCAGACUGCUCCCGGAUCGCUGGCCCUCAGAGACUGUGUACCAUAGUUUUGGGUGAAUUUGUUCUCAGCGGUCGUGACGGGGAGGUGACAGAGGUUGGGAGGAGGGGUCAUAGAGGAGGUGGCACCCGGGCAGUGGUUUGCUGCCCAUUUGUUCUCAGCAGUCGUGACGGGGAGGUGACAGAGGUUGGGAGGAGGGGUCCUAGAGGAGGUGGCACCCGGGCAGUGGUUUGCUGCCCAUCAGGGAUGCUACAGCUGAUGUCUCUCUCUACUGCCCUGCCACCCCUCAACCCCCUCUCCUUUCAGCCUCACCUCCCUGCCUUCCGGUCCUUACCUUUCUUUCCCUCCCCGUCACUCUCUCCCCGUCCUUUCCUCCUCCCAAUCACACAGCCAUAGGAAGGGUCGUAUAAACCAUUCUUGACUUUUGGUAAGAAUACACUUUGAUGAUCAUGUCUCACCCCCACUGAAAACAUUCACUUCCACGUACGGACUCCUAUGGGAUGGAGAGGUGCUCCACCCCCCUUCCAUCUUCCUACCACGUUCUUCACUCUGUGCCCACGGGGGAUGUGCAACACAGGAUUUCAAAGGAACAGUUUGGGAAACAAGUACUUUAUUUAUAGCUCAGGGGUUGUUUAAAAUUAACUGUAAUACAAGGGUGAGUCAAAAAUUAUCUGUACUCUGGCUGUAGAAUUCAUUUUAAUGAACUUUCAGAAAAGACAAAUACAUCAUUUUUCAACAUAAUCUUCUUGCUUUUCAAUACACUUUAUCCAUCUGUCAACAAGCUUUCGUAUUCCCUCAUUAAAAAAAUGUUUCAGGCUGAGCUGCGAGCCACAAGUGCACCACUGUCUUCAUCAGAAGUGAAUCUUCAUCCUCGUAGGGCUGCUUUCAGGGGACCAAACAGGUGAAAGUCUGAUGGAGCAAGAUCAGGACUGUAGGGAGAAUGCUUUAACACCUUGAAAUGAAGUAAUCCACAACAGACUUAGGUUUUGAAAAGUUUGUGCAAGAUGGGUACUGAAACAACUCACGGAAGAGCGUAAACAGAAGCGUUUGGAUAUCUGCAAACAAAAUUUGGACCGAUACUCUAAGGAAGGUGGAAGUUUCUUAAAGAGAAUCAUUACUGGUAACGAGACCUGGUUUCAUCACUACGAGCCUGAGAGUAAACAGCAGAGUAUGGAAGGGAAACAUCCUCAGUUGCUGACCAGGAAAAGUUCAAAAGUCAACCAUCAGCUGGAAAACUGAUGCUUACAGUUUUCUGGGAUUCUCAAGGGCCAGUAUUGGAACAUUAUCAGAAUAAAGGUUCAGUGAUCAACAGUGCUUGUUACAGUGCGAUGCUUAUUGAAGAGCUGAAGCCCAAACUUUGAAUUAAACGCAGAGAACUGCCAUCCAAAAGUGUUGUGAUCUUGCAUGACAAUGCAUGUCCACACACUUCUGCCCACACUGUCGACACUCUGCAAAAACUUCGUUUUGAGGUGUUAAAGCAUCCUCCCUAUAGUCCUGAUCUUGCUCCAUUGGACUUUCACCUGUUUGGUCCCCUGAAAGCAGCCCUACAAGGACAAAGAUUCACUUCUGAUGAAGAAAUGAAGAUAGCAGUGCACUUGUGGCUCGCAGCUCAGCCGAAAACAUUUUUUAAUGAGGGCAUACGAAAGCUUGUUGACAAGUGGAUAAAGUGUAUUGAAAAGCAAGGAGAUUAUGUCAAAAGAUGAUGUAUUUGUUUUUUCUGAAAGUUCAUUAAAAUGAAUUCUACUGCCAGAGUGAGGAUAAUUUUUGACUCACUCUUGUGGAAAAAUGGGGAUCUUAAAUAGUCAGGUUAGAUACUCGUUUUUUUAAAAAAUAUAAAUUUAGUUAUCUGUUUUUAAAAAUUUUUGUCUGCAUUGGGUCUUCGUUACUGCAUGCAGACUUUCUUUAGUUGUGGAGAGCAGGGGCAACUCUUUGUUGCAGUGUGAGGGCUUCUCAUUGUGGUGGCCUCUCUUGUUGCAGAGCACAGGCUCUAGGUUCACGGGCUUCAGUAGUUGUAGCGUGCAGCCUCAAUAGUUGUGGCAUAUGGGCUUAGUUGCUCUGUGGCAUGUGGGCUCUUUCUGGACCAGGGCUGGAACCCAUGUCCCCUGCACUGGCAGGCGGACUCUUAACCACUGCUCCACCAGGGAAGUCCCAAUAAUCAGGUUUUCAAUGUGUUUACUCCCGUCAUUCAUAUAAAUAAACCAUUUUAAUUGCCUCUUCAUUUUUUUAAACAGGUCUCUUGACCAAUAUUCCCUGGGGUCCAUCAGCUGCAAUAUGUUUUGUGUCUUGAGGUAAUUUCUUUCCUUGGAUAAACUGUUUUCUACCAGGCACUUCCAACUAAACAUCCAAAAGGAUAGUAUGUCAUUUUACAGAAUAAUUGUAUGUAAUAAAACAAUAAAGCCUCAAAAUAAUGAUGUGUUAUAGCAGGACCUCAUUACACAGAACUAUGUCUCCUGAAACAUAAUAACAAACACAGUAAGCGUUUGAACUAUGCUCGUCUGUAAGUCGCACACCAGCCUGGCACCCAGGCCCAAACAAAAUUCCAGCGUAAGAAAAGAGGAUCAUUGCCGUAAUUUUAAAUCUCCUGAUGAAGGUUAGAAGCAGCGUUCAAUUUAGAAAAAUCACUCAGCAUUGCUUCAGCUGAUGAAAUGCUGGAAUAACAAUGGUAAUUCCAAGGACUACGUUGUGUUGCUUUAAACAUUCCGAGGGGACUAGAGAAAAAUGCUGAGUAAAACAAGGAAGGGAACAGUCCAGCCUGGUGGAAAGAUGGACCGAGUGGCCGCAGAGGCCUUGUUCAACCCUUGAAUUCCGUGACACUUCAGUGGCUCCUCACAAUUGCAUGAAAGUUAAUAAGAAUGGUUUUGUCAUACUCUUUUUUAAAAAAAUCUAUUAAUUAUUGUAGUUUAGAACAACAUUAUAUGGUCUUUACUACAAGGUGUUUUUUUAAACUGAUUCAGUAGGAUCCCAGGUCCUUUUUUGCAGAGGAAAUUCUCUAAAAGAAAACAAAUUACUCACACUUUUCCCAGGCAAAUAUUUUCGUUCUUUCUAGAACCCAAAUGGAACUAAAACUUCAUUAUGUAACAAAUACUUGCCAAGAGGAUGAUUGGGUUUUGAUCAAAGGUCUUAUUGAAACACACACUCUGCUAAUUGCAUCCUUUCCCAAAACUUCUUAAAAUAAAAAGUGAGAACACAGCUAACGAAGGGAGAUCUCUUGGAGCAAAGUUGUGUGAUGAAGAAAGUGUUCCAGCCAAGUUACACAUCUCAGCAGAGGCAGGUUUGAGUGGCAAGUGCUGGGCAGGACGGAACCCUAAGUGCAGCAGAGCCCCAAGAACAAAGAAGCAUUCAGGAGACACCCCACGACUCCACGCUCCAGUCUCUCACUGCUAAACACGAGGCUGCUGGAGCUGUUAGUGCAGUUUGUCCGGAAAACUCACGGGCAUGGAAAGAAACACAUGAAAGUGUACCUGGCAUCUGCCAGUUCACUGCACUUCUA
Long non-coding RNA from Hippopotamus amphibius kiboko, 8409 nucleotides. RefSeq lists it as uncharacterized. The record is from RefSeq and is a predicted model, not a curated record. Lineage: Eukaryota; Metazoa; Chordata; Mammalia; Artiodactyla; Hippopotamidae. The transcript has 3 exons.